CCCGCUUCCACCAAAUUCUCUUACCUCUCCUGCAGGUCUAAUCUCUUGUAUCUGAAAAGUUUUAGCUAAAUUCCUAAUUCUGCUUCAAGUGCAACAAGAACACUUGUGUAAAUCAAUUUCUACCAGCGCCUGGGUAGUAUUCUAAGAAAACUCUAAUAAUGACUUCAUGGUGCAUUAACAGAUGAUUCCCUUUCACAAGCUUCAUGAAACUAAUUCUAUAAAGUGCCAUUCUUUCAACAACUCUAGGAGAAACCCUCAGUCUUCCUGUUUCACAUGUUGAGAGGAAUUUCCUAAGAGAAAAACAUGAGAUUCAGCUUUCCUGUAUCCUUGAGUUUCAUCCUCAAUCUGCAUGCUGGUUUAUCAAUUUUUUUCCCCACAUCACUUCAUUAUAUUUUAUAUCCCUGUGGUCUUCUCAGGGAAUUCCCGCAGGAGUUCCCUGGCUCCUCUCUUCAUUCCUGAGGGCAGUGCUGGAGUUAGAGGGUGACAAUUACUUCCCUGCUUUUCUGCUCCAAGCCCCAAAGCAGUUGACAGGUAGACAAGGGAGGCUGGGGCUCUGAGCUGGGGCCAAGAAUGUCUGCUCUAUUGCUGAUAAAGCUAGACGAAGAGCCCCAGUCUGCACCUAAGAUUUCUCACACAGCCCUAUUUAACAUUUCCCAACCAAACUGCAGGCUCUCCCUUUGCCAAGACAAAGUCCAGUCCCAGGAAACUUCCAGAGACAGAGAAAGCUUGCUUCUUGGAAAGUGAGAAUGGAAGGGGUUGAACUGCACGUGUCCAUUUCUCCAUCUCAAACUCACCAAUUAGAGAAGCAGGAAGAGAAGAAAAGAUGUCAUAUUCCCAACACACAAAGAGGUGGUGGCAAAAUGUCCCGCUGUAGGGCUAAGAUGGGAACUCCAGGAGCAAGCCUUAGCACGACGAGACGGCCAUCUUGCUCAGUGUGCCUCAGAAAGCAGGUGGCUGAGAUGCAAAUCCUGAUUGGCCCUCAGAGACCCGGCAAUGAAACAGCCAGCCAAUCAGGCUCUCCCCUUGGUGCCACGGCCAAGCCCCUGCGAGGUCGCCCUGAGAGCACCAUGAGUCCACUCUCCAGCCUGACAGUGGUUAUCACCAGAUGUGAUGGACUUGGGGAGGGAGCAGCCCCAGAAAGCGCCCCAUUCUUGGGCCUCCUCCUGCACUCACUGGGAAGUAAACAGCGAUGUGAGGCUCCCUGUUCUGGGAAAAAGCUAAUCAAAUGAUCCAACUGCUCCUCAUCUGCAACCCCGAGAGAGGUACCAGGAAAUAGUUUUGGCUGAGAGGAGGGUAGCCACGAAUAAGGGAGGCUGUCACGGAAAACUGCUUUCCCACCUCCCAGCUCCAUCCAGGCCUUAGCCUCUGCACACUGCCCCAGAGCAGGUAUCAGCCAG
Molecule: long non-coding RNA, 1397 nt
Filed under: Macaca mulatta (Rhesus monkey)
Lineage: Eukaryota; Metazoa; Chordata; Mammalia; Primates; Cercopithecidae
Description: lncRNA (ENSMMUG00000050912.1)
Source: RNAcentral